RNAcentral lists this small nucleolar RNA (67 nucleotides) under Tinamus guttatus (white-throated tinamou). Its description in RNAcentral is "Small nucleolar RNA SNORD58". It matches the Rfam family "Small nucleolar RNA SNORD58". Rfam says of the family: snoRNA U58 is found in introns 1, 3 and 6 of the ribosomal protein RPL17 gene in humans. U58 is a member of the C/D class of snoRNA which contain C (UGAUGA) and D (CUGA) box motifs. The record is from Rfam by way of RNAcentral. Lineage: Eukaryota; Metazoa; Chordata; Aves; Tinamiformes; Tinamidae.
UUGCUGUGAUGACUUUCUUAGGACACCUUUGAAUUAAACGUGAAAAGAAUUUUGUUUUCUGAGCAAU